GACUUAUCUGUAGCAGUGUCUGCAAUAACUA
This is a regulatory RNA element of Astyanax mexicanus (Mexican tetra), 31 nucleotides long. It matches the Rfam family "Iron response element II". From Rfam's summary of the family: IRE, TFRC, SLC40A1, SDHB, SLC11A2, CDC42BPA, ACO2, ALAS2_H.SAPIENS, CDC14A, EPAS1, ALAS2, qoxD, Hao1, NDUFS1, transferrin, Aconitate. NCBI's taxonomy places the organism in Eukaryota, Metazoa, Chordata, Actinopteri, Characiformes, Acestrorhamphidae. The record is from Rfam.